AUUCUCUCAAUUCCCAAACCCAGAGGCCAGGUCUCAAACCCUCAAGUUUCAAUCUCUCAUCCCAAACCUAGAUCUCGAAUUCUCAAGUCUCAAUCUCCCUUCGGCCGACGACAUCGCCUCCCUCGACCCUCAUCGGCUUCGGUGGCUCUUCAUCGGUCAUCACUCAUCAUCACUCAUCCGUCAAUCUCGAAGAGACGAUUAGACGAAGACCCGAUCUCUCGAACUCGAAUUUUGAAAGUAAGUUCUUACUCGAAUUUUGAAUGUUUGAAAUUUGGUUGGAAUUUGGUAAUGAGGAGACCCUUUUUGUGCAAAACUGCAAACUUAAUUUAUAAUUUAUAAUUUUUUUUGUGCAAAACUGUGUAGUGAAUAUAAUUUAUAUACUUAUAUAGGGAUGUAUAUAGAUAAAUUAGAUAUAGAGGGACUGAGGGAGAAGGUUAAUAACAUUUCAUAUCUCGAAAUUAACACCAAGUUACAGUUGAUAGAAUUGAGUAUCUGUUUAGAAUUUGAGGGUCAAAGACUCAAAGUAUCUGUUUAGAAUUGAAUUGAGUCAAUCUUGAUAGAAUUUUUUAGUAGAAUUUUUAGUCCAGUUUGUAAUUUUUUCUUUAGAUUUCUGAGUUUUUAGUUUAUUCUUGCAGAUCUUUGGAUAAGCUAUAGAGAUUCUCCAUUACAUGUUUGCUAUACAUGUUUAGACAGUUUAGUCAUGUUUGCAGAUCUUUACCUUGUAUUAAUUGAAAUAAAGAUGUAAAUAUAUUAUCUGCUUGCAGAUUUUUGAGUUUUUAGUUUAGUCAUGUUUGCAGAUCUUUACAUUGUAUUUGGAAAUUCUCCAUUACAUGUUUGUUAUGCAUAUUAUUACUUGAGCAAUAUUGGAUCAAAAGAUGAAAUGGUUAUUGAACAUUUUGUAUUGAUAGAUGUUUGUUAGAAACCAUGACUAGUUGCUAGAAAGUUUUAUAUCAUUGUUUUGUCGAAUGGUUACAUAUUGAACAUUCGGAUGUUUGCACUGUUCCGUUUUAAUUUCCUAUUAAUUGAAAUAAAGAUGUAAAUAUAUCCUCCUUAUUCUUGAUAAACCUAAAGACAUAUGCCAUACAACUAGAAAUAUAGUAAUAUCUCAAGAGGAAGUAUACAAAAAUAACAACAUAAAAGCAACGCCUAGAACAUAGAGCAAAAUUUAACUGGCCUAAGAAACAUUAAUACUUAUGUUAUUAUUAUACAAUUAUUGUUACAGUCCUUUCAGUUGAUUAUAACAGAACUAACUUGAUAUGGAUUGGUGUACAAUGUAAAGAUACAAAUUAGGUGUCUAACAUGUACAUUAAAAUCUGGAAUGCUAGCGAACCCCAAUGGAGUCUCUGGCUUUUAUGCAGUCCACUCUAUGGCAAUGAAAAUACUGCUAUGAAUGGGCAGCAGCAACAGCAGCAAGCCAGCAACUAGCAAGCGGUAGGAGGUUCAAGCAGCAAAUGGGCAUUAAAAGAACUCAACAGCAGCAGCAACAAAUGGGCAGCAAAUGGGCAACAACAGCUUCAACAGCAGCAGGAACUGUGUUGUUGUUUAUGGAGCAGCAAAUGUAGGAAAUGGGCAACAACAGGAACUCAACAGCAGCAGCAGCAAAUGUAGCAAAUGUUUAUGGUGUUAAUCAUUGUAGGAACUGUGUUGUUGUUUAUGGAUUAUGUUAAUGGAUUGUAGGAACUGUUUUGUUGUUGUUGUUGUUUAUGGAUUAUGUUUAUGGAUUGUAGGAGCUGAACUGUGUUUUUGCUAAAUCUUUUAAAUUCGGUUAUUACAAAUUUCGGUUACUUAUUCGGAUAACUAAAAUAGGCUGUUUUCGGGUUUCGGUUAUAACUGAAAUUCUUGUUCGGUUCGGUUAAUAACCGAAUGAUCACCCCUAGGGACUAGGGAAGAAAAUCCUGGAAAAAAAAAUUCACAUAAAAAUAAGAAAUUGAUAUUUUCACAUAAAAAAUUGAUAUUUUCACAUAAUCUCUCCCAUAUGAAUAGUGAG
This 1987-nucleotide long non-coding RNA is filed under the name Panax ginseng (ginseng). RNAcentral's name for it is "long non-coding RNA (PGIN_LNC015540)". Lineage: Eukaryota; Viridiplantae; Streptophyta; Magnoliopsida; Apiales; Araliaceae. The record is from RNAcentral.